RNAcentral lists this ribosomal RNA (589 nucleotides) under Flavobacterium sp. StRD473. RNAcentral's name for it is "bacterial SSU rRNA". It matches the Rfam family "Bacterial small subunit ribosomal RNA", at positions 102 to 689 of the family's 1533-position model. The record is from RNAcentral. Lineage: Bacteria; Pseudomonadati; Bacteroidota; Flavobacteriia; Flavobacteriales; Flavobacteriaceae.
ACGGGUGCGUAACGCGUAUGCAAUCUGCCUUUCACAGAGGGAUAGCCCAGAGAAAUUUGGAUUAAUACCUCAUAGUAUUAUUGGGUGGCAUCACUUAAUAAUUAAAGUCACAACGGUGAAAGAUGAGCAUGCGUCCCAUUAACUAGUUGGUAAGGUAACGGCUUACCAAGGCAACGAUGGGUAGGGGUCCUGAAAGGGAGAUCCCCCACACUGGUACUGAAACACGGACCAAACUCCUACGGGAGGCAGCAGUGAGGAAUAUUGGUCAAUGGACGCAAGUCUGAACCAGCCAUGCCGCGUGCAGGAUGACGGUCCUAUGGAUUGUAAACUGCUUUUGUACGAAAAGAAACAACAUUACGUGUAAUGUCUUGACGGUGUCGUAACAAUAAGGAUCGGCUAACUCCGUGCCAGCAGCCGCGGUAAUACGGAGGAUCCAAGCGUUAUCCGGAAUCAUUGGGUUUAAAGGGUCCGUAGGCGGUUUAGUAAGUCAGUGGUGAAAGCCCAUCGCUCAACGGUGGAACGGCCAUUGAUACUGCUGAACUUGAAUUAUUAGGAAGUAACUAGAAUAUGUAGUGUAGCGGUGAAAUGC